This 303-nucleotide ribosomal RNA is filed under the name uncultured bacterium. RNAcentral's name for it is "partial 16S ribosomal RNA". It matches the Rfam family "Bacterial small subunit ribosomal RNA", at positions 507 to 807 of the family's 1533-position model. The record is from RNAcentral.
AGCAGUAGCCACGGUAAUACGUAGGGCGCAAGCGUUGUCCGGAAUUAUUGGGCGUAAAGAGCUCGUAGGCGGUCUGUCGCGUCUGGUGUGAAAUCCCGAGGCUCAACCUCGGGCUUGCAUCGGGUACGGGCAGACUAGAGUGCGGUAGGGGAGACUGGAAUUCCUGGUGUAGCGGUGGAAUGCGCAGAUAUCAGGAGGAACACCGAUGGCGAAGGCAGGUCUCUGGGCCGCAACUGACGCUGAGGAGCGAAAGCAUGGGGAGCGAACAGGAUUAGAUACCCCGGUAGUCCCUGUCUCUUAUAC